RNAcentral lists this non-coding RNA (27 nucleotides) under Rattus norvegicus (Norway rat). Lineage: Eukaryota; Metazoa; Chordata; Mammalia; Rodentia; Muridae. The record is from RNAcentral.
ACAAAAGGCAGCUUCAUGCCAUUGGGA